Molecule: long non-coding RNA, 250 nt
Filed under: Dunaliella salina
Lineage: Eukaryota; Viridiplantae; Chlorophyta; Chlorophyceae; Chlamydomonadales; Dunaliellaceae
Description: long non-coding RNA (DSAL_LNC000457)
Source: RNAcentral
UGCGCUCAUUGCUGGUGAGCUCACUUCUCCACUACCCCCACUCGAAGUCUGUGGAGCGCACGAUGGGAGCAUCGUGCGCUAGACAGCAGAAUCGUGCGCUAGAAGCAAGCCCAUCGGUCGAGUGCAAGACUGCCAACAAGCGCUCGAUGCGCGUCUAGCGCUCGUUGUGUGCGAUCUGAUGCUAGAUUCAGUCAUCGUGCGCUCGAUGUAAGCUGCUCGUUGGCGUUCUAGCACAUGAUGGGUGCGUUCU